This 253-nucleotide ribosomal RNA is filed under the name uncultured bacterium. RNAcentral's name for it is "partial 16S ribosomal RNA". It matches the Rfam family "Bacterial small subunit ribosomal RNA", at positions 524 to 776 of the family's 1533-position model. The record is from RNAcentral.
UACGAAGGGGGCGAGCGUUGUUCGGAAUCACUGGGCGUAAAGCGCACGUAGGCGGCGCGUUAAGUCAGGGGUGAAAUCCUGGAGCUCAACUCCAGAACUGCCUUUGAUACUGGCGUGCUCGAGUGUGGGAGAGGUUGGUGGAACUCCGAGUGUAGAGGUGAAAUUCGUAGAUAUUCGGAAGAACACCAGUGGCGAAGGCGGCCAACUGGCCCAUUACUGACUCUGAGGUGCGAAAGCGUGAGGAGCAAACAGG